RNAcentral lists this ribosomal RNA (505 nucleotides) under uncultured bacterium. RNAcentral describes it as "partial 16S ribosomal RNA". It matches the Rfam family "Bacterial small subunit ribosomal RNA", at positions 28 to 507 of the family's 1533-position model. The record is from RNAcentral.
GACGAACGCUGGCGGCGUGCCUAAUACAUGCAAGUAGAACGCACAGUUUAUACGGUCGCUUGCUUCACCAUAAACUGUGAGUUGCGAACGAGUGAGUAACGCGUAGGUAACCUGCCUGGGAGCGGGGGAUAACUAUUGGAAACGAUAGCUAAUACCGCAUAAUAUUGAUUAUUGCAUGAUAAUUGAUUGAAAGCUGCUAUUGCAUCACUACCAGAUGGACCUGAAGUGUAUUAGCUAGUAGGUGAGGUAACGGCUCAACUAGUCGGCGAUACAUAGCCGAGCUGGGAGGGUGAUCGGCCACCAUGGGACUGAGACACGGCCCAGACCUCUACGGGAGGGAGCAGGAGGGAAACUUUGGACAUGGAGGAAAGGCUGACCGAGGAACGCCGCGGGAGUGAAGAAGGGCUUCGGAUCGUAAAGCUCUGUUGUAAGAGAAGAACGGGUGUGAGAGUGGAAAGCUCACACUGUGACGGUAUCUUAACAGAAAGAGACGGCUAACUACGUG